CAAGCGUCAAGUGAUAGCUGUCAUAUCAAGAAAUACAAAUAAGCUGUUGUCUGAAGUCACCCAAUUUUCUGUUUGAACAACUUAAAUAUUUUGUGUAGUUUCAAUUUAUUUAUUUGAUCAAACCUUGCUCGGUCGCUGUGCUUUUCAUGAUCCUGUACUCAGCCGGCAUCGAAGAUCCGUUUCGCCAAAGUGGUCAUCAAACUGAAGGGCAACUCCGACAAAGAACUGACCAUUUCUGGCCGCGAGUAGCUGCCUUGAUGCCAUCCAGUGGUGCUGCUCCGGCUGCCGUCGUUAAAAAUAAGAAGUAGGAAGAGUCCAAAUCCGAGGAGUUACUUCGCCGGAAAACUGCUGGCGAUUUAGAAAAGGUUUUGUAGGCCGCAGACAGCAGGACGCCACUGUUCCGUGCAGCGAUUCUGGAAGUGAACAAGGAAUGUCUGACCACUGCAGCAGCUGCUGUCAGCGAAUGAUUUUUUUUCUGGUUUUGAACGGAACAGGAAGACGUGAAGGACUUGAUUGGAUUCCGGCUUGUCAAGAAACUACUGGGUCAGGCCGGGUUAUUAUGAAGUGAACAAGUAUUUUCAAGUCGUAAUUAUGUAAAGUGUUUCGAAUUAUACAAGUAAAUAUCGAUGCAUC
Long non-coding RNA from Culex pipiens pallens (northern house mosquito), 633 nucleotides. RefSeq lists it as uncharacterized. The record is from RefSeq and is a predicted model, not a curated record. NCBI's taxonomy places the organism in Eukaryota, Metazoa, Arthropoda, Insecta, Diptera, Culicidae. The transcript has 2 exons.